GAUGAACGCUGGCGGCGUGCCUAGUACAUGCAAGUCGAGCGAACAGACGAGGAGCUUGCUCCUCUGACGUUAGCGGCGGACGGGUGAGUAACACGUGGAUAACCUACCUAUAAGACUGGGAUAACUUCGGGAAACCGGAGCUAAUACCGGAUAACAUGUUGAACCGCAUGGUUUAACAGUGAAAGACGGUCUUGCUGUCACUUAUAGAUGGAUCCGCGCCGCAUUAGCUAGUUGGUAAGGUAACGGCUUACCAAGGCAACGAUGCGUAGCCGACCUGAGAGGGUGAUCGGCCACACUGGAACUGAGACACGGUCCAGACUCCUACGGGAGGCAGCAGUAGGGAAUCUUCCGCAAUGGGCGAAAGCCUGACGGAGCAACGCCGCGUGAGUGAAGAAGGUCUUCGGAUCGUAAAACUCUGUUAUUAGGGAAGAACAAAUGUGUAAGUAACUAUGCACGUCUUGACGGUACCUAAUCAGAAAGCCACGGCUAACUACGUG
Molecule: ribosomal RNA, 497 nt
Filed under: uncultured bacterium
Lineage: Bacteria
Description: partial 16S ribosomal RNA
Rfam family: Bacterial small subunit ribosomal RNA
Source: RNAcentral